Molecule: long non-coding RNA, 388 nt
Organism: Dendrobium catenatum
Lineage: Eukaryota; Viridiplantae; Streptophyta; Magnoliopsida; Asparagales; Orchidaceae
Exons: 3
Source: RefSeq, a predicted model, not a curated record
GCUAUCUAUAUUGUCAUAUUGAGUUUGCACAGCUGCUUUAUCAAAGAACCUGGACGGAUAUAUCAUUUUCAUUUGUCGGAUUGCAAAUAGCAACAUACGCUACUUGAACUUAAAUCAAGCGUUGCUGAGUGAAGAUCUUUUAGUUUUACAUUGAACUUACUUGAAUUGCUCAGUGUGCUCUAGCUUGCGGCUUCCUUCUAUGGCAGAUUCUUUGUCUGACACUUCAUAUAAUAGAGAUUUGUCAUCAGGUUUUUGAUGCCUAUAUAAUGGUGUGCCCAAGAAGAAGCUCACAACGGCAAUGGCCAUUGCUACUGCGGGAAUGCCAAAACCCAAGCCCCACCCUAAUUUGGUCUGUAUCCAAACCAGGACCGAUGCUGCAAUCAUGGCG